Molecule: ribosomal RNA, 274 nt
Filed under: uncultured bacterium
Lineage: Bacteria
Description: partial 16S ribosomal RNA
Rfam family: Bacterial small subunit ribosomal RNA
Source: RNAcentral
AUACGGAGGGUGUAAGCGUUGUUCGGAAUUACUGGGCGUAAAGCGCGCGUAGGCGGUCUGUUAUGUCAGAUGUGAAAGUCCUCGGCUCAACCGGGGAAGUGCAUUUGAAACUGGCAGACUUGAGUACUGGAGGGGGUGGUGGAAUUCCCGGUGUAGAGGUGAAAUUCGUAGAUAUCGGGAGGAAUACCGGUGGCGAAGGCGACCACCUGGCCAGAUACUGACGCUGCGGUGCGAAAGCGUGGGGAGCAAACAGGAUUAGAAACCCCAGUAGUCC